GACGAACGCUGGCGGCGUGCCUAAUACAUGCAAGUCGAGCGAAUGGAUGGGAGCUUGCUCCCUGAAAUUAGCGGCGGACGGGUGAGUAACACGUGGGUAACCUGCCUGUAAGAUUGGGAUAACUCCGGGAAACCGGAGCUAAUACCGGAUAACAUUUUGAACCGCAUGGUUCAAAAAUUGAAAGAUGGUUUCGGCUAUCACUUACAGAUGGACCCGCGGCGCAUUAGCUAGUUGGNGAGGUAACGGCUCGCCAAGGCAACGAUGCGUAGCCGACCUGAGAGGGUGAUCGGCCACACUGGGACUGAGACACGGCCCAGGACUCCGUACGGAGGCAGCAGUAGGGAAUCUUCCGCAAUGGAC
RNAcentral lists this ribosomal RNA (360 nucleotides) under uncultured bacterium. RNAcentral's name for it is "bacterial SSU rRNA". It matches the Rfam family "Bacterial small subunit ribosomal RNA", at positions 28 to 376 of the family's 1533-position model. The record is from RNAcentral.